Molecule: long non-coding RNA, 527 nt
Organism: Alnus glutinosa
Lineage: Eukaryota; Viridiplantae; Streptophyta; Magnoliopsida; Fagales; Betulaceae
Exons: 2
Source: RefSeq, a predicted model, not a curated record
CCUUUUCUUCUAAUAUCUCACGCCUUUCCCCUUCUCCCCAUUCUCUCGUCUGACUCCCCCUCUCUCUUCCCUUUCUUUUCUAUUCUCAUCUUCCUCAUCUCUUCUUCUACACACACGUUGAGGGAGAGAGCCACAGAGAGCAGAUGUGAGAGAGAUUCAAGCAGAGAUUGUGGGAGAGAGUUCCGAGACAAGGAAACAAACCAACGAGAGGAAGAGAAGAACUAAAAUGAAGAAGAAGGCAGAUUCGGCUAUGGGCUUCUUGAGGUAUUCCGGCCGUAGUUGAUGGUAUUGUAGAUGUGCACUUGGGAUAUUAUAACUGAAGCUCGCUGCGACGAUCGUAACUGCGGGACCAUGGGUGUCCUCUGUUUAUGGGUUUGUUUAUGGCUUGUGACGUCUGUGUCACUUGUUAUUGUAUAAGUCAUUUAUAUUAUGUAUUUAAUUUGAGGGAAGACUUGAAUAGAUAGAUGUAAUAUUGGCUCUUGAUUAUGAUUAAUUUAUGAUAGAUGUUUAAGAUGUGAUUUCCGCUA